RNAcentral lists this ribosomal RNA (497 nucleotides) under uncultured bacterium. Its description in RNAcentral is "partial 16S ribosomal RNA". It matches the Rfam family "Bacterial small subunit ribosomal RNA", at positions 28 to 507 of the family's 1533-position model. The record is from RNAcentral.
GAUGAACGCUGGCGGCGUGCCUAAUACAUGCCAGUCGAGCGAACAGACGAGGAGCUUGCUCCUCUGACGUUAGCGGCGGACGUGUGAGUAACACGUGUAUAACCUCCCUAUAAUACUGGGAUAACUUCGGGAAUCCGGAGCUAAUACCGUAUAAUAUAUUGAACCGUAUGGUUGAAUAGUGAAAUACGGUUUUUCUGUCACUUAUCGAUGGAUCCGCGCCGCAUUGGGUAGUUGUUAAGGUAAUGGCUUUCCAAGGCGACGAGGCGUAGCCGACGUGAGAGGGGGAUAGGCCGCACGGGAACGGGGCCAGGCACAAGACUCCUACGGGAGGGAGCAGUCGGGAAUGUUCCGCAGUAGGCGAAAACAUGACGGAGCAGCGCCGCGUGAGUGAUGACGGUCUUCGGAGCGUAAAACUCUGUUAUUAGGGGAGAACAAAUGUGUAAGUAACUAUGCACGUAUUGACGGUAACUAAUAAGAAAGCCACGGCUAACUACGUG